This 429-nucleotide ribosomal RNA is filed under the name uncultured Alphaproteobacteria bacterium. RNAcentral describes it as "bacterial SSU rRNA". It matches the Rfam family "Bacterial small subunit ribosomal RNA", at positions 958 to 1385 of the family's 1533-position model. Lineage: Bacteria; Pseudomonadati; Pseudomonadota; Alphaproteobacteria. The record is from RNAcentral.
AACGCGAAGAACCUUACCAACCUUUGACAUGCCCAGUAUGGUCGUCAGAGAUGACUUCCUUCCCGCAAGGGGCUGGAGCACAGGUGCUGCAUGGCUGUCGUCAGCUCGUGUCGUGAGAUGUUGGGUUAAGUCCCGCAACGAGCGCAACCCUCGCCCUUAGUUGCCAUCAUUUAGUUGGGCACUCUAAGGGGACUGCCGGUGAUAAGCCGCGAGGAAGGUGGGGAUGACGUCAAGUCCUCAUGGCCCUUACAGGUUGGGCUACACACGUGCUACAAUGGCGGUGACAGUGGGAUGCAAUGGAGCAAUCCUGCGCAAAUCUCAAAAAGCCGUCUCAGUUCGGAUUGUGCUCUGCAACUCGAGCACAUGAAGUUGGAAUCGCUAGUAAUCGCAGAUCAGCACGCUGCGGUGAAUACGUUCCCGGGCCUUGUA